AUGGUUUUAUUGGUCAAGGAAUGGGCAAAAGCUCAAAACAUUAACGAUCCAAAAAAUGGAACCCUGAACUCCUAUUCACUUUGCUUACUUGUCCUUUUUCAUUUUCAGACAUGCAAGCCUGCAAUUUUACCAUCUAUGAAAGAGUUUUUUGAUUUUAACAUUCUAGGAGAAAUUGGGCCUUAUAAUGAAAAAAUUGUUGAUGAGAUCUGUGCCAGAAAUAUAGCAAAAUUCCGACGCCAGAACAUAGGGCAAAGAAAUCAGAGCUCUCUGUCUCAUCUCCUUGCGACUUUUUUUGAGAAGUACUGUUUGCAGUUUGGCCGUAUUGUUGUCCAUUCUAGUGAGGUUGUGUCCACUUACACGGGCCGGCUCCUGCGAAAACAAGGCGGCCUAUACUGGAUGACCAAAUCUUACUGCUUGUUUGUUGAAGAUCCAUUUCAGAGACCUGAUAAUGCAGCUAGAACAGUUGACGUGCCAGAGCUUCAGCGUGUUGUUAGAGCCUUCGAAAUGCUAAAAGUACAAUCUUCUCCGGUUGGCCGGCCGGCCGGAAUGAAUUGCUUUCGCUGCUGUGCACACCUGAAGUUGGUUCAAAACUAG
RNAcentral lists this ribosomal RNA (594 nucleotides) under Triticum aestivum (bread wheat). Its description in RNAcentral is "partial small subunit ribosomal RNA". The record is from RNAcentral. Lineage: Eukaryota; Viridiplantae; Streptophyta; Magnoliopsida; Poales; Poaceae.